AAGUAACUCCUGCCCAGUGAAUUUUAUUUCAACGGCCGCGGUACCAACCGUGCAAAGGUAGCAUAAUCAUUUGCCCAUUAAUUGUGGGCUAGAAUGAAAGGAUUAACGAAAUAAUUACUGUCUCUACAAAUUAAAUAAAAAUUAUCCUCUAACUGAAGAUUGUUAGAUUAAAUUGAAGGACAAGAAGACCCUAUAGAGCUUUAUUUUAUUUUGUUGUAUAUUUACAUGUAUAAAUUCGGUUGGGGCGACCAGGGAAUACUAAUCAUCCCUAAAACAAAGAUUUAUAUAUCUAUUUCUAUGACCCUUCUAAGAUCUAAAAACCAAGCUACCUUAGGGAUAACAGGCUAAUCCUACUAAAGAGUUCUUAUCUAUAGUAGGGAUUGGCACCUCGAUGUUGGCUUAGGGAAUCUAUAUAGCGCAAAAGCUAUAUAAAGAUGGUUUGUUCAACCAAUAAUACCCU
This 460-nucleotide ribosomal RNA is filed under the name Dendrobaena attemsi. RNAcentral's name for it is "partial 16S ribosomal RNA". It matches the Rfam family "Bacterial large subunit ribosomal RNA", at positions 1850 to 2597 of the family's 2925-position model. The record is from RNAcentral. Lineage: Eukaryota; Metazoa; Annelida; Clitellata; Crassiclitellata; Lumbricidae.